AUACGUAGGGGGCGAGCGUUGUCCGGAAUGAUUGGGCGUAAAGGGCGCGUAGGCGGCCCGGUAAGUCUGGAGUGAAAGUCCUGUUUUUAAGAUGGGAAUUGCUUUGGAUACUGUCGGGCUUGCGUGCAGGAGCGGUAAGUGGAAUUCCCAGUGUAGCGGUGAAAUGCGUAGAGAUUGGGAGGAACACCAGUGGCGAAGGCGACUUACUGGACUGUAACUGACGCUGAGGCGCGAAAGUGUGGGGAGCAAACAGGAUUAGAUACCCUGGUAGUCCACACUGUAAACGAUGAAUGCUAGGUGUAAGAGGUAUCGACCCCUUUUGUGCCGGAGUCAACACAAUAAGCAUUCCGCCUGGGGAGUACGGCCGCAAGGUUGAAACUCAAAGGAAUUGGCGGGG
This 397-nucleotide ribosomal RNA is filed under the name uncultured bacterium. RNAcentral's name for it is "partial 16S ribosomal RNA". It matches the Rfam family "Bacterial small subunit ribosomal RNA", at positions 523 to 918 of the family's 1533-position model. The record is from RNAcentral.